This 492-nucleotide ribosomal RNA is filed under the name uncultured bacterium. RNAcentral describes it as "partial 16S ribosomal RNA". It matches the Rfam family "Bacterial small subunit ribosomal RNA", at positions 29 to 507 of the family's 1533-position model. The record is from RNAcentral.
AGUGAACGCUGGCGGUAGGCCUAACACAUGCAAGUCGAACGGCAGCACAGUAAGCGCUUGCUCCUACGGGUGGCGAGUGGCGGAUGGGUGAGGCAUACAUCGGAAUCUACUUUUUCGUGGGGGAUAUCGUAGGGAAACUUACGCUAAUACCGCAUACGAUCUACGGGUGAAAGCAGGGGAUCUUCGGACCUUGCGCGAUUGAAUGAGCUGAUGUCGGAUUAGCUAGUUGGCGGGGUAAAGGCCCACCAAGGCGACGAUCCGUAGCUGGUCUGAGAGGAUGAUCAGCCACACUGGAACUGAGACACGGUCCAGACUCCUACGGGAGGCAGCAGUGGGGAAUAUUGGACAAUGGGCGCAAGCCUGAUCCAGCCAUGCCGCGUGAGUGAAGAAGGCCUUCGGGUUGUAAAGCCCUUUUGUUAGGAAAGAAAAACAGCAGAUGAAUACCCCGCUGUUCUGACGGUACCCAAAGAAUAAGCACCGGCUAACUUCGUG